This is a small nucleolar RNA of Tachyglossus aculeatus (Australian echidna), 138 nucleotides long. Lineage: Eukaryota; Metazoa; Chordata; Mammalia; Monotremata; Tachyglossidae. The record is from RefSeq and is a predicted model, not a curated record.
CCCCUCUCAGGGUCACACCUGAGGAGUAUCCACUAUUCUACCAGUCUUGACUACGGGAUGGAGAGUCAAGCAGAUGCAUACCCAUUCCAUUCCUAGCUUGGGCAGCGGCUAGUGAGUGGAAGGUAAUCUGCUACAAGU